ACUGGGUGCAGUGGCACAUGCCUAUAGUCCCAGCUACUUGGGAAGCUGAGGUGGGAGGAUUCCUUGAGCCCAGGAUUUCUGGGGCUGUAGUGUGCUAUGGCAAUCAGGUGCCUGAGCUAACUUUGGGAUCAAUAUGGUGACCUUCAGGUGAGGGAGGUUCCCUAAGGAGGGGUGAACCAGCCCAGCUCAGAAAUGGAGUAAGUAAAAACUCCUGUGCUGAUCAGUAGUGGGAUCGCACCUGCGAAUAGCCCCUGAAAUCCAGCCUGGGCAACAUAGCGAGACCCCAUCUUAU
RNAcentral lists this signal recognition particle RNA (292 nucleotides) under Colobus angolensis palliatus. Its description in RNAcentral is "Metazoan signal recognition particle RNA (ENSCANG00000007268.1)". It matches the Rfam family "Metazoan signal recognition particle RNA". From Rfam's summary of the family: The signal recognition particle (SRP) is a universally conserved ribonucleoprotein. It is involved in the co-translational targeting of proteins to membranes. The record is from Rfam by way of RNAcentral. Lineage: Eukaryota; Metazoa; Chordata; Mammalia; Primates; Cercopithecidae.